Molecule: ribosomal RNA, 460 nt
Filed under: uncultured bacterium
Lineage: Bacteria
Description: partial 16S ribosomal RNA
Rfam family: Bacterial small subunit ribosomal RNA
Source: RNAcentral
CCUACGGGAGGCAGCAGUGAGGAAUAUUGGUCAAUGGACGAGAGUCUGAACCAGCCAAGUAGCGUGAAGGAUGACUGCCCUAUGGGUUGUAAACUUCUUUUAUAUGGGAAUAAAACGUUCCACGUGUGGGAUUUUGUAUGUACCAUAUGAAUAAGGAUCGGCUAACUCCGUGCCAGCAGCCGCGGUAAUACGGAGGAUCCGAGCGUUAUCCGGAUUUAUUGGGUUUAACGGGAGCGUAGGUGGAUUGUUAAGUCAGUUGUGAAAGUUUGCGGCUCAACCGUAAAAUUGCAGUUGAAACUGGCAGUCUUGAGUACAGUAGAGGUGGGCGGAAUUCGUGGUGUAGCGGUGAAAUGCUUAGAUAUCACGAAGAACUCCGAUUGCGAAGGCAGUUCACUGGACUGCAACUGACACUGAGGCUCGAAAGUGUGGGUAUCAAACAGGAUUAGAUACCCCAGUAGUC